UGCCCGAAUCCUGACACAGGGAGGUAGUGACAAGAAAUAACAAUACAGGGCUACUUCUAGUCUUGUAAUUGGAAUGAGUACAACUUACAUCUCUUCACGAGGAUCAAUUGGAGGGCAAGUCUGGUGCCAGCAGCCGCGGUAAUUCCAGCUCCAAUAGCGUAUAUUAAAGUUGUUGCAGUUAAAAAGCUCGUAGUCGGAUUUCGGGUCGGGCCGAGCGGUCUGCCGAUGGGUAUGCACUGUUCGGCGCGGCCUUCUUUCCGGAGACCGCGGCUACUCUUAACUGAGCGGGCGUGGGAGACGGAUCGUUUACUUUGAAAAAAUCAGAGUGUUUCAAGCAGGCAGCUCGCUCUUGCAUGGAUUAGCAUGGGAUAAUGAAAUAGGACUCUGGUGCUAUUUUGUUGGUUUCGAACACCGGAGUAAUGAUUAACAGGGACAGUCAGG
Molecule: ribosomal RNA, 441 nt
Filed under: Phaeocystis sp. JD-2012
Lineage: Eukaryota; Haptophyta; Phaeocystales; Phaeocystaceae
Description: SSU rRNA
Rfam family: Eukaryotic small subunit ribosomal RNA
Source: RNAcentral